UACGUAGGGUGCGAGCGUUGUCCGGAAUUAUUGGGCGUAAAGAGCUCGUAGGCGGUCUGUCGCGUCGGUCGUGAAAACUUGGGGCUUAACCCUGAGCUUGCGGUCGAUACGGGCAUGACUGGAGUUCGGCAGGGGAGACUGGAAUUCCUGGUGUAGUGGUGAUAUGCGUAGAUAUCGGGAGGAACACCAGUGGCGAAGGCGGCUUUCUGGGCCUUACCUGACGCUGAGACGCGAAAGCGUGGGGAGCGAACCGG
Molecule: ribosomal RNA, 254 nt
Filed under: uncultured bacterium
Lineage: Bacteria
Description: partial 16S ribosomal RNA
Rfam family: Bacterial small subunit ribosomal RNA
Source: RNAcentral